GUGGGGAAUUUUGGACAAUGGGCGAAAGCCUGAUCCAGCAAUGCCGCGUGUGUGAAGAAGGCCUUCGGGUUGUAAAGCACUUUUGUCCGGAAAGAAAUCCUUUGGGUUAAUACCUCGGAGGGAUGACGGUACCGUAAGAAUAAGGACCGGCUAACUACGUGCCAGCAGCCGCGGUAAUACGUAGGGUCCGAGCGUUAAUCGGAAUUACUGGGCGUAAAGCGUGCGCAGGCGGUUUUGUAAGACAGAUGUGAAAUCCCCGGGCUUAACCUGGGAAUUGCAUUUGUGACUGCAAGGCUAGAGUGUGUCAGAGGGGGGUAGAAUUCCACGUGUAGCAGUGAAAUGCGUAGAGAUGUGGAGGAAUACCGAUGGCGAAGGCAGCCCCCUGGGAUAACACUGACGCUCAUGCACGAAAGCGUGGGGAGCAAACAGGAUUAGAAACCCUUGUAGUCC
This 450-nucleotide ribosomal RNA is filed under the name uncultured bacterium. RNAcentral describes it as "partial 16S ribosomal RNA". It matches the Rfam family "Bacterial small subunit ribosomal RNA", at positions 354 to 796 of the family's 1533-position model. The record is from RNAcentral.